CAGCCGCCGCGGUAACACCGGCGGCCCGAGUGGUGAUCGUGAUUAUUGGGUCUAAAGGGUCCGUAGCCGGUUUGGUCAGUCCUCCGGGAAAUCUGAUAGCUCAACUAUUAGGCUUUCGGGGGAUACUGCCAGACUUGGAACCGGGAGAGGUAAGAGGUACUACAGGGGUAGGAGUGAAAUCUUGUAAUCCCUGUGGGACCACCUGUGGCGAAGGCGUCUUACCAGAGCGGGUUCGACGGUGAGGGACGAAAGCUGGGGGCACGAACCGGAUUAGAUACCCGGGUAGUCCCAGCCGUAAACGAUGCUCGCUAGGUGUCAGGCAUGGCGCGACCGUGUCUGGUGCCGCAGGGAAGCCGUGAAGCGAGCCACCUGGGAAGUACGGCCGCAAGGCUGAAACUUAAAGGAAUUGGCGGGGGAGCACAACAACGGGUGGAAGCCUGCGGUUUAAUUGGACUCAACGCCGGACAACUCACCGGGGGCGACAGCAAUAUGUAGGCCAAGCUGAAGUCUUUGCCUGAAUCGCUGAGGGGUGGUGCAUGG
This 540-nucleotide ribosomal RNA is filed under the name uncultured archaeon. Its description in RNAcentral is "bacterial SSU rRNA". It matches the Rfam family "Archaeal small subunit ribosomal RNA", at positions 459 to 997 of the family's 1478-position model. The record is from RNAcentral.